ACCACAUACAUAUAAUAUAAUAUAAUAUAAUAUAAUAUAAUAUAAAUAUUUGUGUCAAUACCCAGCCCUAAUUCAAAUCCUGUAACAGUUUGUCAGUUAAUGCCUUUCUUUGUCACUUGAACUGCCCUGUUGUACUGUAGGAUAGUUGGUGAAAUAAUGGCAGUGAGCAUUACUCAGGAUGGCCCUCCACCCAACUCUUUCAUGGAGUGGAUAUACAAUUUAGUUUCUUCUGGGGAGAUUAAUAAAGAUCAGCUGACAAAGGCUGACAUAACAGAUGCAGACCUGCUAGAUCUAAUUGACAAGAUUGAGACCGCAGACACUACAGCCUUGCUUGACCUUUCUGAAAGAAUCGUAGCAUGUGGGUACACAGGACCCCUAACAUGUGAUCGAAAGGAAGACAUUGUCAGCAGAUGAGCAGAGGACUGGAACUCUGUGGCCUCCAUGAAACGGUGAAACAAAAUCAGCCGUUAUUUGUUUCUGGUCACUUUACAAAAAUUUUCUCAUGAUGGCCCUGACACCCAUUUUAAGUGAAGUGGCAGAGGGAAUCAAGAAUUGUGAACUACUUGCAGGACUUCAUUCAAAGCCUUGAAGAUGAAGAAGAAGGGAGCAGCAGUAAGGAGAACAGGGUUGAAGAUGACAACGAACAGGAGGAUAAAACAAACUGCACUAAAAGAGAUGCAGAACAAGACAAGAUCACCGCCAGCAGGUCAUGCAGUGGAUUACUGGUCAGGGGCACGUCCACAUUACUUCUGCACAAAGAGAAACACUUAAAAUACAUGUUGAAUUUGAUCAUGACUGUCAGCUUCGAUAUGGUCAGCACAGUUUAUGCGUCUCUCUAGUAAAUGCAUGUUCCUGUGCUGUGACCUUUCCUACACUCACCUAGAGACAAACACAGAGUUCACUGGCAUUAUGAGGCAGGCUGUGAGCAAUAGCAGAGAAUUUGGUCGUUAAUGAAUUGAUUCUUACUAUAGUUUAAUCACUAUACUGUGUACCCUCUGUUACGUCGUUAAUAAUAUGUUAAAAGAACAGGGGUGCAGUAGCUUUUGGAUAUUUGACUGUAGUUUAUUUUAUUUUUUUAUUUUUAUCAUUGACAUGUAUUACAACAGAAGCAGACAAGAUUGCUGCCAAAUUGUUCCAAACUCAAUUCAGACGUGAAAAAAUGUACAUCAAUGCACAGUAAGCUUCAAAGCAGAAUAAAUUCAUUAUGCUGUUCA
Ctenopharyngodon idella (grass carp) is the source of this 1214-nucleotide long non-coding RNA. RefSeq lists it as uncharacterized. The transcript has 5 exons. The record is from RefSeq and is a predicted model, not a curated record. Lineage: Eukaryota; Metazoa; Chordata; Actinopteri; Cypriniformes; Xenocyprididae.